GAAGGACUUCUCCUAGGACGAGUCAGUGCCCAAGCAGAAAAUUAAUUUCAUUCCAUCCAUCUGUACAUGACCCCAAACCAUCCCCAGCCAGGGAGACUGUGGAGUUUUUCCAUGAAUGCAGAUUGAAAGGCAGAGGCAGCAGUGCAGGACGCUGGUGGGGGCGCAGGGAGCGGCUCGGCUCCUGGUGGCACCGCUGCUCAUCCCCUGCGCCCCUUUCAGGCACCACCGAGAGACCCACUUUUGGGCAACGGUUUGGUUGAGUUUUCAGCUCCGUUAGGGAGUGCCUGGGCGGCACCAAAGCGUGCAGGUGGGCUUCUUUACCUCUGAGCCCUGUGAACGUAGCUCGGAAAGUAAUGCCUCUUAUUUAUUUCUAUGGAAACUACAACAGGUACAAAGAGCACGACAGCACUAACUGGUGGAGCAGAUCCUCAGCUACAAAACACUGUUUUUCAACACAGACACCAUCACAGCUACGCGUUUUUGCCAGCAAUGGACAAGAGCCUGCAUGCCACACUCUGCAUGUAGGCUCUGCACCAGCAGAGGUGACCCACUGUCAGCGCUGCUCACACGUACCACCCGCCGCCUCACUCUGCUCACAGACACUGCUGUCCCCAUCAGCGUUCACAAGCGCCGAUGAAUGUCGGUGGGCGCCAUUUUUCUGCACGGAGGGAUUCAAUUCCACGCCUUUGCUUUACACGCACUUCCAAGUCAGCCGCCAUUUUGUCCGACCUCCCCUCUGCCGCCAUCUCUCACGCGGCAACAACGCCGAACGGGGUGUUGGUGGAAGGCCCAACGUGCACUGCCAUCCCGCCGCCAUGCGCUCCUGACAGCGCGGAGCGGCACCGCAACGCAGGAGGCAUUCCUUUCGGAGCGGCCCUCACGGAAGGCAGCACGAGCGGUGCAGGUGGCGCAGAGCUGGGGCUGUGCCGUCGCCCUCCUCCUUCCCCCGCCUCACCUCCGUGCUUCGCCCCCCGCUCCCUGCGGGACGAGCCGCGCGGUGCUGCAGCCGGCCCUGCCGGGCUCCCCGCUCUGCAGCCGGCCCGCAGGUACCGCACAAGGGCACGGGAAGGACGUUUCCUUCCGGAGCGCCACUCUGGAAAUUAAUGGACGCGGAGGGUUUUGUGUCUGCUGAGGGAAGCGGUUCUCGAGCCGCGGGUCACGGCGCGCCUGGAGCCGGCUGGGGCUGCUAAGUGGGUCACGCUGCGCUGCGGGCCGGUGACACGCGGCGCGGGGCCAGCCCU
This 1241-nucleotide long non-coding RNA is filed under the name Gallus gallus (chicken). Its description in RNAcentral is "lncRNA (ENSGALG00010012479.1)". The record is from RNAcentral. Lineage: Eukaryota; Metazoa; Chordata; Aves; Galliformes; Phasianidae.